This 147-nucleotide ribosomal RNA is filed under the name Triticum aestivum (bread wheat). RNAcentral describes it as "partial small subunit ribosomal RNA". The record is from RNAcentral. Lineage: Eukaryota; Viridiplantae; Streptophyta; Magnoliopsida; Poales; Poaceae.
AUGAAAAUUAACAUAUCCAAGGCCUUUGAUACACUAUCAUGGGAAUUUCUUCUGGAGGUGAUGUCUGGUCGGGGUUUCGGUUGGAGGUGGCGCUCCUGGAUAUGCGGGCUGCUAUCCACUGCGUCCACAUCAGUGCUCAUCAACGGC